GGGUACGGGCAGACUAGAGUGAUGUAGGGGAGACUGGAAUUCCUGGUGUAGCGGUGAAAUGCGCAGAUAUCAGGAGGAACACCGAUGGCGAAGGCAGGUCUCUGGGCAUUAACUGACGCUGAGGAGCGAAAGCAUGGGGAGCGAACAGGAUUAGAUACCCUGGUAGUCCAUGCCGUAAACGUUGGGCACUAGGUGUGGGGGACAUUCCACGUUUUCCGCGCCGUAGCUAACGCAUUAAGUGCCCCGCCUGGGGAGUACGGCCGCAAGGCUAAAACUCAAAGGAAUUGACGGGGGCCCGCACAAGCGGCGGAGCAUGCGGAUUAAUUCGAUGCAACGCGAAGAACCUUACCAAGGCUUGACAUGAACCGGAAAGACCUGGAAACAGGUGCCCCGCUUGCGGCCGGUUUACAGGUGGUGCAUGGUUGUCGUCAGCUCGUGUCGUGAGAUGUUGGGUUAAGUCCCGCAACGAGCGCAACCCUCGUUCUAUGUUGCCAGCACGUGAUGGUGGGGACUCAUAGGAGACUGCCGGGGUCAACUCGGAGGAAGGUGGGGACGACGUCAAAUCAUCAUGCCCCUUAUGUCUUGGGCUUCACGCAUGCUACAAUGGCCGGUACAAAGGGUUGCGAUACUGUGAGGUGGAGCUAAUCCCAAAAAGCCGGUCUCAGUUCGGAUUGGGGUCUGCAACUCGACCCCAUGAAGUCGGAGUCGCUAGUAAUCGCAGAUCAGCAACGCUGCGGUG
Molecule: ribosomal RNA, 739 nt
Filed under: Arthrobacter sp. M13
Lineage: Bacteria; Bacillati; Actinomycetota; Actinomycetes; Micrococcales; Micrococcaceae
Description: bacterial SSU rRNA
Rfam family: Bacterial small subunit ribosomal RNA
Source: RNAcentral